This 253-nucleotide ribosomal RNA is filed under the name uncultured bacterium. Its description in RNAcentral is "partial 16S ribosomal RNA". It matches the Rfam family "Bacterial small subunit ribosomal RNA", at positions 524 to 776 of the family's 1533-position model. The record is from RNAcentral.
UACGUAGGGUGCAGGCGUUAAUCGGAAUUACUGGGCGUAAAGCGUGCGCAGGCGGUCUUUUAAGUUUGGUGUGACAGUUGGUGGCUUAACUGCCAAAGUGCUUCGAAAACUGACAGACUUGAGGGCUUCAGAGGGACACGGAAUUCCGGGUGGAGUGGUGAAAUGCGUAGAGAUCCGGAGGAACACCAAAGGCGAAGGCAGUGUCCUGGGGAGUGCCUGACGCUCAGGUGCGAAAGCCAGGGGAGCGAACGGG